GACGAACGCUGGCGGCGUGCUUAACACAUGCAAGUCGAACGGUGAACUCCGCUUGCGGGGGGAUCAGUGGCGAACGGGUGGGUAACACGUGGGCAACCUGCCCUCAGCUCUGGGAUAACUCCAAGAAAUUGGGGCUAAUACCGGAUAUGACCGCUGACCGCAUGUUCUGGUGGUGGAAAGAUUUAUCGGCUGGGGAUGGGCCCGCGGCCUAUCAGCUUGUUGGUGGGGUAGUGGCCUACCAAGGCGACGACGGGUAGCCGGCCUGAGAGGGUGACCGGCCACACUGGGACUGAGACACGGCCCAGACUCCUACGGGAGGCAGCAGUGGGGAAUAUUGCGCAAUGGGCGAAAGCCUGACGCAGCGACGCCGCGUGGGGGAUGACGGCCUUCGGGUUGUAAACCUCUUUCAGCAGGGACGAAGCGAAAGUGACGGUACCUGCAGAAGAAGCCCCGGCCAACUACGUG
RNAcentral lists this ribosomal RNA (465 nucleotides) under uncultured bacterium. Its description in RNAcentral is "partial 16S ribosomal RNA". It matches the Rfam family "Bacterial small subunit ribosomal RNA", at positions 28 to 507 of the family's 1533-position model. The record is from RNAcentral.